Long non-coding RNA from Sinocyclocheilus rhinocerous, 93 nucleotides. RefSeq lists it as uncharacterized. NCBI's taxonomy places the organism in Eukaryota, Metazoa, Chordata, Actinopteri, Cypriniformes, Cyprinidae. The record is from RefSeq and is a predicted model, not a curated record. The transcript is spliced from 3 exons.
ACCAGCAGCAUCGCCGUCGCUAGAGCUCCGCUUGGCCUCAUACUGUCGCGCAGCAUCACCGUACACACAAUACCUGUAGCCUCUGAUAAAAAC